This is a long non-coding RNA of Python bivittatus (Burmese python), 1355 nucleotides long. RefSeq lists it as uncharacterized. The record is from RefSeq and is a predicted model, not a curated record. NCBI's taxonomy places the organism in Eukaryota, Metazoa, Chordata, Lepidosauria, Squamata, Pythonidae.
ACAAGAUUAGCUGUGGCAGCUCUAAAUAAACAGGUUUCCCACCACGUUUUAGCCCCUAUUGCCUCUCUAAUGCUAAAUUAGUUGCCAUAUCCUCAGCAUUCAGUGUUCAUCUAAUGACUUCCUUUUUAUCAUAACAUCUGGUGUUCCCAUUUGAUAGUGUAUUAUAAUUUUCUCAGUAGAGUAAGUAGAUUUUCAUUCAGGAAUCAUUCAACAAAGAACACAUUAUGUUGCUUGUGGUAGCAUAACCCCAAAUCUCUUAAGAGAUGUUGAAUAUGUUUAAAAAGUUCAGUCACUGAAGUUCAGUCUUUGGUCACCUUGUAUAUUUAUAUUUCCCUUUUUACUUUUCACACAAAUAAAAGUCCAUCCAAACAUUGCAUUUACUUUAAAAUAUAUAUUUUAAAGAAUGCCUCCUUCUUUGGUUCACUGCAAUUCCAGUGUCUGUGUUUUGACAAGAGCAAUUUGCUGCCUCUUGUCUAAAUAAUGCUUUCCUCCACCCAGGCCAUUCCUUAGGAAAUGCUGGCUAAUCAAGCUCAAGGUCUGGUAGCAAAACAGGUGAAAGAAAAAUUGAGAUUUUUUCUUCAGAGGUGGGAAAAUAGGCACAGUAUAAUGCAAAAUGCCUGAGCUGACACUAAUCCAAAAGAGGCUGCAACCAAACUAAGAGUUCUGUAAAUAUUUGCACUUGAGUUCCUUUGAUUUAGGCAUGAUCGAAGAUACAUUUUUUGAAAAGAAUCUGUAACGUUCUCAUUGCUGAGUUCACCUUGCCUCUGUGGGAUGAACAUGCCAGAGAGAAAUUAGCAGAUGACAUCUUUUUGAGUGCUUGCAAUCAUUUCUGCAAAGAAGCAAAGCGUAUGAUGGUAGACAAAUAACCAUAUAAAGACACGGUGAGAAAAGUGGCAGAACAGUAAGAUGGUCUUCCUUGGAAGAUUUUUUUAAUGAAAAAGGAACAGGAAUAAUAUUCUGACUGAAGCUGCCCAAAGGAACAGGAAUAUUGAGUAUCUAUGAACUUAAAAUAUUAAACACAUGUCUUAUUUGAAGUAACAGAACGGCCCACAAUUGAGUAUGAGAAAUGGCACGGUUCUGAUUGAAAGAGUACAGAAGCUGACAAUGAGCAAAAUUUGGGAAAUGCCUUGAGAUUUUAUGCCUGGCAAAAGGUACACAGAUCUGACUUUUUCUUCAGCAGAUCACUGGGAAACGUAUGAGGAUGAUAAAAAACAUUUAGGGUAUGUUUGUUGAUUUAAAGAAAGUAUAUGAUAUCAUGAGUAGCUUGAAUUAUAGAAGGUUUUAGACGAAUAUGGAGUCGAAGAUUGGUUGCUGACUGUGAUAAGUAUGGCAAAUCAUGGAUGUAAAACAUGCAU